This is a long non-coding RNA of Mangifera indica (mango), 966 nucleotides long. RefSeq lists it as uncharacterized. The transcript has 3 exons. NCBI's taxonomy places the organism in Eukaryota, Viridiplantae, Streptophyta, Magnoliopsida, Sapindales, Anacardiaceae. The record is from RefSeq and is a predicted model, not a curated record.
UUUUCUCUCGAUUAAGGUUUAUUUUUCUUUUUUCCAUUUUUUUACCACUUUCUUUGCCUAUGACAAAAAACCCAUGGCCAAUAUCUUUUUCUCUUGACGAUCUCGCUUCCAGCCCUAUCGUCCAUCGAAGAUGAAUCGAGCAUCUCCGUCUUUAGACGAUUCAAGCAUUGGCCAUCAACCAACAUUAUUUGUUGGUUGUGAUCUGUUGAUGGCCCUAUGUCCAUUCGUUAUGAUCUUCCUAGCAAGUAGUGGCGCAAUACAUGCGAGCAGAUCACCAAGAAAUGCUGCAAAGGUAUUUUUGAACCAACCCUGGGUGGAAAAAUCAAGACGUUAUACUUAUAUUCAACCAUUGGAAGCAGAAGCCGAAGCCGAAGCAUAUUUCAGGUGACAAACAGGCAAAGUAUACUUUUCUGCUUCCAAUAAGCUGCUUAUUAGUUGAUUCUUCACGCAAAGUUGAAAAAAUUCAUAUGCCACAAACAGCUGGAAAGUUUGAAGUUGAGUGAUUUGGACGUGUCACAAGUAUAAUUUUUCUCAAUUACAUCUUCGAAAGAGUUCGUUGAUCCAACUAUCGAACAACUGAUUUGAUGAUCAGUUGACUUAUACCAGCCUUUUCAUCAUAUUAACAUUUGAUCUUACAUGAAACCCAUAAUCUCGAGCUUCAAGUCAGCGUUAUAUUAAACUUUUUUUUUUUUGAAAAACUAAAUAAAUUAAGAGUAAUUUUAUAGAUAAAAAUAACUGGUUGAUUUUACUCAAUCACAUAAUAACAAGUUAGUUUGCUUGUUGUCAAACAUUAAUCUCUAAAUAUUUUCAUUGUCUGGUUUGUAUGUCUUUUUUGAGAUUUUUGUGGUAACCUAGCACAAGGUUCGUCUCAAAUAUUUGAUGUAAUAUCUAGUUUCGUUCAUAUUUGUUACCAUUCUUAUAGUUAUUUAGGAAGUGUGGUCGAGAUUUGAAUUUUAAAAUAGAAAU